This 620-nucleotide ribosomal RNA is filed under the name Microbacterium sp. RNAcentral describes it as "bacterial SSU rRNA". It matches the Rfam family "Bacterial small subunit ribosomal RNA", at positions 105 to 739 of the family's 1533-position model. The record is from RNAcentral. Lineage: Bacteria; Bacillati; Actinomycetota; Actinomycetes; Micrococcales; Microbacteriaceae.
GGUGAGUAACACGUGAGCAACCUGCCCUGGACUCUGGGAUAAGCGCUGGAAACGGCGUCUAAUACUGGAUAUGAGCCUCUUCCGCAUGGUGGGGGUUGGAAAGAUUUUUUGGUCUGGGAUGGGCUCGCGGCCUAUCAGCUUGUUGGUGAGGUAAUGGCUCACCAAGGCGUCGACGGGUAGCCGGCCUGAGAGGGUGACCGGCCACACUGGGACUGAGACACGGCCCAGACUCCUACGGGAGGCAGCAGUGGGGAAUAUUGCACAAUGGGCGAAAGCCUGAUGCAGCAACGCCGCGUGAGGGAUGACGGCCUUCGGGUUGUAAACCUCUUUUAGCAGGGAAGAAGCGAAAGUGACGGUACCUGCAGAAAAAGCGCCGGCUAACUACGUGCCAGCAGCCGCGGUAAUACGUAGGGCGCAAGCGUUAUCCGGAAUUAUUGGGCGUAAAGAGCUCGUAGGCGGUUUGUCGCGUCUGCUGUGAAAUCCCGAGGCUCAACCUCGGGCCUGCAGUGGGUACGGGCAGACUAGAGUGCGGUAGGGGAGAUUGGAAUUCCUGGUGUAGCGGUGGAAUGCGCAGAUAUCAGGAGGAACACCGAUGGCGAAGGCAGAUCUCUGGGCCGUAA